UACGUAGGGUCCGAGCGUUGUCCGGAAUUACUGGGCGUAAAGGGCGCGUAGGCGGCCUUCUAAGUCAGACGUGAAAUCCCCCGGCUUAACCUGGGAACUGCGUCUGAUACUGGGAGGCUUGAGUAUGGGAGAGGGAUGUAGAAUUCCAGGUGUAGCGGUGAAAUGCGUAGAUAUCUGGAGGAAUACCGAUGGCGAAGGCAGCCUCCUGGGCCAACACUGACGCUCAUGCACGAAAGCGUGGGGAGCAAACAGG
This 253-nucleotide ribosomal RNA is filed under the name uncultured bacterium. Its description in RNAcentral is "partial 16S ribosomal RNA". It matches the Rfam family "Bacterial small subunit ribosomal RNA", at positions 524 to 776 of the family's 1533-position model. The record is from RNAcentral.